This 229-nucleotide unclassified non-coding RNA is filed under the name plant metagenome. Its description in RNAcentral is "partial contains small subunit ribosomal RNA, internal transcribed spacer 1, and 5.8S ribosomal RNA". The record is from RNAcentral.
UCUCCGUAGGUGAACCUGCGGAGGGAUCAUUACAGAGUUCAUGCCCUACCGGGUAGAUCUCCCACCCUAUGUUAUUAUUACUUUGUUGCUUUGGCGGGCCGUUAGGCUCCGGCCCGACUACCGGCCCCGGCUGGUAAGCGCCCGCCAGAGGACCCAAAACCCUGAACAUUAGUGUCGUCUGAGUACUAUAUAAUAGUUAAAACUUUCAACAACGGAUCUCUUGGUUCUG